Molecule: long non-coding RNA, 1347 nt
Organism: Stegostoma tigrinum
Lineage: Eukaryota; Metazoa; Chordata; Chondrichthyes; Orectolobiformes; Stegostomatidae
Exons: 3
Source: RefSeq, a predicted model, not a curated record
GCUGCACUUGGCCACGUGAUGUCCUGGGGGUGGACCAUACCUCACGCGGUGCUCGCUAUUGGCUGUGCUUUCGCAGCCCCUCUGCAGGUAACGCGGGAGACGGUGAGUGGGCGCCGAGCACCAGCCUGCCAGAGCUGCCUCAAUGUCAACAUUCUUUCAGGAAGCACACCCACAGUCAAUUGUAUCACCUCGCUGUCGGUAACGUGACACACCCAGGAAUUUCGGGUGAAGUUUCAGUCGUAUCGGAUGAGGGCACUGCUGGCUGGGAGAGAUGGUGAAACGGGAUCAGGAACACCAAAGUCGGACACCAGACUCCUGGAAUGUUAGCAUUGCUGACUCGCCCUAGUUGCCCUGGAGAAGUGGUGGUGAGCUGUCUUCAUCAGAGGCUGCCCAGAGGACAUUCCCAAGCAUGGCAACAAACGUCUGCGAAACAAGAAACCAGCUCAGUGUGCCAACCGACCUCAUAACUUCUUACUUACUUAUCAUAUAAUGCCAUUGUUAAUCAAAUUUCUGCCUUGGGUACUGCUGAAACAUUAUUAUUAUUAAAGUGACACAAUUUCCUAUGAUUGAUAAACAUGAAAUCAUGAGUAUAAUUAGUUUUUGGUUUGAUUUUAUUAAGUAUUGACCUUCAAAAAUUUUGUCCAGUAGGCAAAAUCAUUUUUACACAGAACAUUUAUUUAAAAUACACAAAUUCAACAUUUAAACUUAAUCUCUAGAACUCAAUCUUUCAGCAUUUAAAGUUUUUAAAAAGUCUUCUGUUCAUGACAAAUGUUUCAUUUUGUCUUUAUGUAUAAAAAAUGAUUAAUGUGUUUUAUGUUCCAUUAGUCAAAUCAUUUCCAGCAAUUCAACUUUUCAGUUUUUAUGUAUCAAUUUUAACAGCAUAGAUACCAGCCUUCAUCACAAACACUUACAAAUAUCGUCAGGCAACUGCAGUUUGUAACCUGAAAAUUGAAGGAACCAAGUGGACCAGCAGUGAACUGUACAAUCUCAAAAUACUCAGGUUUAUGAAGCAAUGUCAUGUGACUCUAAUCACAAUGUGGAUCCAAAUUAGUUGCAUCAAAACCCAGCUAAUAGCGGUUAUUCAAAUUGUCAACCAGGUCUAUGAAUGUGUGUGUACACAAAUGCAUGUGUGCACGUGUUUGCACCAUGCAUGGAGCCAGAAACUAGCUGGCAGUGAUGAGUGACAUUAGUAAUUCAUUUCAAGAAUCAUUCAACCUGGAAGUAAGCAAUGUCAUUUUUUGGUAAAGACAACUGUUCAAUUAUUAAAAGGGUAAGCACUAGAAACUAUUUAAUGUAAUAUUAAAUAUUUACAGUAUCUCAUGUUUUAAAUCUUCAUAACUAAUUAUA